RNAcentral lists this ribosomal RNA (494 nucleotides) under uncultured bacterium. RNAcentral's name for it is "partial 16S ribosomal RNA". It matches the Rfam family "Bacterial small subunit ribosomal RNA", at positions 28 to 507 of the family's 1533-position model. The record is from RNAcentral.
GACGAACGCUGGCGGCGCGCUUAACACAUGCCAGUCGAACGGAAAGGCCUGCUUUCCCUUGUGGAUUGCGGGUACUCGAGUGGCGAACGGGUGAGUAACACGUGAGUGAUCUGCCCCCAACUUGGGUAUAAGCCUGGGAAACUGGGUCUAAUUCCCGAUAGGACUGCAGGGUGGUGCCUGUGGUGGAAAACGAUUUUCUAGUGGUUGGGGAUGAGCUCGCGGCCUAUCAGCUUGUUGGUGGGGUAAUGGCCUACCAAGGCGGCGACGGGUAGCCGGCCUGAGUGGGUGGACGGCCACAUUGGGACUGAGAUACGGCCCAGACUCCUACGGGAGGCAGCAGUGGGGAAUAUUGCACAAUGGGCGGAAGCCUGAUGCAGCGACGCCGCGUGGGGGAUGACGGCCUUCGGGUUGUAAACUCCUUUCGACCGCGAGGAAGCCACCUGGUUGGAAGGGUGGUGACGGUAGUGGUAGAAGAAGCACCGGCUAACUACGUG